This 105-nucleotide unclassified non-coding RNA is filed under the name plant metagenome. Its description in RNAcentral is "partial contains 5.8S ribosomal RNA, internal transcribed spacer 2, and large subunit ribosomal RNA". The record is from RNAcentral.
UGUGCAGACUUUCACUAGGAUUCACGAUAGGCUUCGUCGUUACGAUACCCUUUCAGUGGCCGAUAUUGAGACUAUAGAAGCCGACUAUCUUGCUCUUGAAAUCUA